RNAcentral lists this ribosomal RNA (305 nucleotides) under uncultured bacterium. RNAcentral's name for it is "bacterial SSU rRNA". It matches the Rfam family "Bacterial small subunit ribosomal RNA", at positions 337 to 634 of the family's 1533-position model. The record is from RNAcentral.
ACCUACGGGGCGCAGCAGUAGGGAAUCUUCCACAAUGGGCGAAAGCCUGAUGGAGCAACGCCGCGUGGGUGAAGAAGGUCUUCGGAUCGUAAAACCUUGUUGUUAGAGAAGAAAGUGCGUGAGAGUAACUGUUCACGUUUCGACGGUAUCUAACCAGAAAGCCACGGCUAACUACGUGCCAGCAGCCGCGGUAAUACGUAGGUGGCAAGCGUUAUCCGGAUUUAUUGGGCGUAAAGGGAACGAAGGCGGUCUUUUAAGUCUGAUGUGAAAGCCUUCGGCUUAACCGGAGUAGUGCAUUGGAAACU